RNAcentral lists this unclassified non-coding RNA (379 nucleotides) under Hevea brasiliensis (rubber tree). The record is from RNAcentral. Lineage: Eukaryota; Viridiplantae; Streptophyta; Magnoliopsida; Malpighiales; Euphorbiaceae.
GCACUCUGGGCACUGGCAUGCUAGCUUCUCCUUGCACUCAUCCACAUCUUCACAAUUGCGGACUCCAUCGCCUUUAAAUCCUGGAGGGCACUUGCAGCCCUUUGUAUGGUCAUCAGAACAGGCAGAGUAAGUUCUUCCAUCUUGGGUGCCCUUCCAACAACCCCCAUUAUUUAUUUCACAGCGUAAAGCUCCUGACGGUUCACAGUGAGUAUAGCCAUCUCCAAUGAACUUCACACCUCGAACAGUAGGACAUUCACAAACUCUUCCUCGAAAUGUAUCCCUGCAUGCAGAAACAUUUGCAUCCUUAUUGUGCCAGCAACCACCAUUAUUUGUUAAACACUCAUUUGUUUCCACGUCUUCAGUUAAACAAAUUGCAGGC